UACAGAGGGUGCGAGCGUUAAUCGGAAUUACUGGGCGUAAAGCGCGCGUAGGCGGCUUUGCAAGUCGGGUGUGAAAUCCCCAGGCUUAACCUGGGAACUGCAUUCGAGACUGCAUUGCUAGAGUAUGGGAGAGGGAAGUGGAAUUUCAGGUGUAGCGGUGAAAUGCGUAGAUAUGACCCGGAACACCGAUUGCGAAGGCAGCCCACUAAGCAAUGAUUGACGCUGAGGCACGAAAGCGUGGGGAUCAAACAGG
This 253-nucleotide ribosomal RNA is filed under the name uncultured bacterium. Its description in RNAcentral is "partial 16S ribosomal RNA". It matches the Rfam family "Bacterial small subunit ribosomal RNA", at positions 524 to 776 of the family's 1533-position model. The record is from RNAcentral.